UAGGGAAUAUUGCGCAAUGGGCGAAAGCCUGACGCAGCGACGCCGCGUGUGGGACGAAGGCCUUCGGGUUGUAAACCACUGUCAGAGGGGACGAAUUUUCCAGCUAACUACUGGAAGUGACUUAACCCUCAGAGGAAGCACCAGCUAACUCCGUGCCAGCAGCUGCGGUAAUACGGAGGGUGCAAGCGUUGUUCGGAUUUACUGGGUGUAAAGAGCUCGUAGGCGGUUAGGUAAAUUAGGCGUGUAAGCCCCCGGCUCAACCGGGGAAUAGCACCUAAGAUUGCCCGACUAGAGUGCGGAAGAGGAGAGUGGAACUGUAGGUGGAGCGGUGAAAUGCGUAGAUAUCUACAGGAACACCAGAGGCGAAGGCGACUCUCUGGUCUGCUACUGACGCUGAGGAGCGAAAGCUAGGGGAUCAAACAGG
RNAcentral lists this ribosomal RNA (424 nucleotides) under uncultured bacterium. RNAcentral describes it as "bacterial SSU rRNA". It matches the Rfam family "Bacterial small subunit ribosomal RNA", at positions 355 to 776 of the family's 1533-position model. The record is from RNAcentral.